UACGGAGGGUGCAAGCGUUAUCCGGAUUUACUGGGUUUAAAGGGUGUGUAGGCGGGCCUUUAAGUCAGUGGUGAAAUCUCCGAGCUUAACUUGGAAACUGCCAUUGAUACUAUUGGUCUUGAAUUCUGUUGAGGUGGGCGGAAUAAGUCAUGUAGAGGUGAAAUUCGUAGAUAUUCGCAAGAACACCAGUGGCGAAGGCGGCUCACUGGCCCGGUACUGACGCUGAGGUGCGAAAGCGUGGGGAGCAAACAGG
This 253-nucleotide ribosomal RNA is filed under the name uncultured bacterium. RNAcentral describes it as "partial 16S ribosomal RNA". It matches the Rfam family "Bacterial small subunit ribosomal RNA", at positions 524 to 776 of the family's 1533-position model. The record is from RNAcentral.